RNAcentral lists this ribosomal RNA (406 nucleotides) under uncultured Alphaproteobacteria bacterium. RNAcentral's name for it is "bacterial SSU rRNA". It matches the Rfam family "Bacterial small subunit ribosomal RNA", at positions 355 to 775 of the family's 1533-position model. Lineage: Bacteria; Pseudomonadati; Pseudomonadota; Alphaproteobacteria. The record is from RNAcentral.
UGGGGAAUAUUGGACAAUGGGGGCAACCCUGAUCCAGCCAUGCCGCGUGAGCGAUGAAGGCCUUAGGGUUGUAAAGCUCUUUCAGCGGGGAAGAUAAUGACGGUACCCGCAGAAGAAGCCCCGGCUAACUCCGUGCCAGCAGCCGCGGUAAUACGGAGGGGGCUAGCGUUGUUCGGAAUUACUGGGCGUAAAGCGCACGUAGGCGGAUCAGCAAGUUAGGGGUGAAAUCCCGGGGCUCAACCCCGGAACUGCCUUUAAAAACUGCUGGUCUGGAGUCCGAGAGAGGUGAGUGGAAUUCCGAGUGUAGAGGUGAAAUUCGUAGAUAUUCGGAGGAACACCAGUGGCGAAGGCGGCUCACUGGCUCGGUACUGACGCUGAGGUUGCGAAAAGCGUGGGGAGCAAAACA